RNAcentral lists this long non-coding RNA (21434 nucleotides) under Homo sapiens (human). RNAcentral describes it as "non-protein coding lnc-ANP32A-3:4". The record is from RNAcentral. Lineage: Eukaryota; Metazoa; Chordata; Mammalia; Primates; Hominidae.
GUAAGCGGAUGGGCUCGGCCUCAAGGACAGGGUGCUCGGCUGAAAAAAAAGCUAGCGGCGAUCACCGGUGCCAGGGCUCUCCAGAAACGGAGCCCAUCUAACCAAUGCCCAGCACACUCGCUCUGCUCCACACACGAGACCACCUCCGACCCGCACUAAGUUGGCCAACUGCACUCUGGAGGCGGCGGCAGCCAGCGAGGGAGAAGGGAAAGGCUGUCCCGGGACCCCGAGGAGGACUGCCCCGCCCCCGGGAACCGGGUGCGGCGUAAAACAACCCCGGCUCCGGGCCGACCCUUCCUGGCCCCUUGGAGGCCCAGGCGGGGCGGCGGGGGGCGACGCGGCAGGGGUCUCCGCGCCCAGGCUCCCGCGGAGCGGCCACACGUGGAGGUUCCCACUUUGGGGUCGCGGCCGCAGCAGCACCGGGCGGGAUGCUGUCCGCGCUGCCCGCGUACGGCCGCGGCCUGAGUGGAGACGCCUGCCCCCAGCCCCGAGGCCUCGGCCCCCGUCCGCCCUCUCUCCCUGCUCGGCGGCCUCGUACUCACGCUGACUUCAUGGCAGCAGGCUCCACGCCGCCCAAACGCGCAUGCGGGACGGCUGGCUGGCGAAGACUGCGGGACGUUAGGACCGGCAGCAAGAACUAGAACUUCGCGGCUAAGGCGCGGUGCUCUGCGAAGCCGGCGGCGACGCUAAGAGCCCAGGUGAGCUCCCGCCUGGCGCAUUUCAAACGGGCCAAUCAGCGCCCGUCCGCAGGGAGAGGCAGGACCUCCGCGGAAGUGACUUCGCUGCCGGAAGUGGCGCUUGUCUCCUAGGCGACCGACGCUGAAAGGGCCGCGGAGUCGCGUGUCAGGGCUGGAGGGAGAUCUUGAGGUAUGGUAUUUAAACUCUUCCGCCUUGCGAUGACGAAACUGAGGGUUUCUUUUCCUCCAUCACAAGAAGUUCAAUGGAAGGGCCUUUCCAGGGUUGAUUCAGAGGUCGGAAUGUCGUUCUGGUGAAAAGUGUUGUAUUCCUGUGCUGUGCCCUGCUCCAAGUCUCAGGCUCCGUCUCUCUGGCUCCCAAGUCACCACAUUAUCUUGGCGUCUUUUCUCUCUCUGAUUCACCUUUCCUGGGUUUCCCUCCAGCUCUGUCCUAUAUGUACAUUAUUUUAUCAAAUCUUUUUUUUUUCCUUUUUUAUUUUUUGAGGUGGAGUUGCUCUGUCGCCCAGCCUGGACUGCAGUCUUCAGCUCACUGCAACCUCCACCUCCUAGGUUCAAGCAAUUCUCUUGCCUCAGCCUCCCGAGUAGCUGGGAUUACAGGCGCGCACCACCACGCCCAGCUAAUUUUUGUAUUUUUAGUAGAGAUGAGGUUUCACCAUAUUGGCCAGGGUGGUCUAGAACUCCUGACUUAAGGUGAUCUGCCUACCUUGGCCUCCCAAAGUGCUGGGAUUACAGGCGUGAGCCACUGCGCCCGGCCUGUUUUAUCAAAUCUUGAUUGUGUUUGAUCCUGGCCUUACGGAGAUGAAUAAAAUUUGGUCCUUACCCUUAAGGGGCAACCUUUUGAACCUACUCUUGCCUUAGAUGAACUGAUUCUAUAUCACUUCUGUCUUUGACCCUAAGCCGAUGACUACCAAAUACACAUCUACACCUGGGCUCUCAUGGAACUCUAGCCCCUUCUCAACUUCCUAAAGGACCACAGCACUGGUAAGGAUAGUCACAAUGUCCUUGGCCAAUAUUGUUGGUGCUCAGGAAACGACACCCCAGAGUAUGGCUCUUUGGCACACUGAGUGCUUUGAACUAAAGAAGACUGAAAGUGCCUCAGAGAAGCCUUAAAAGCAAAGUCUGUCUCUGACUUUCUCCUGCCCUCUUGUCUCCCACCCCUCUGUGUCUCCUAAAGCAAAUAAUAGAAACCAGAAUUUCUGUUCCCCAAGGCGGGUCAUGGAAACUAGAACCCCUUUUCUCCCAAGCAAGCCAGAAACAUUAUUCUAGAAAAACCUAGAAAUAUUAAUCUAGCCUUCCCCCACCUUUUUGUGUAAGAGCUGGCCAUAAAGACAUUCUUUGAUGUACCUUGUCAUAAGACCCUCGUUCCAAAAGGGUCUUGCCCUACACUCAGGAAGAAGGAAAGCUGCACAGAGAGGCCAAGAAGAAUCUGAACAGACAGGACUUGCUGGAUUCCUCCUUCAGUCUGUUACUAUUAGAUCAUACUCCUUUUGUACAAUCACAUUUCUACACAGCUGUCCAUUCUUCAUCUCAUCUAAGCAUAAAAAUGGACAGCUUUCCCUGGGUCUUUGGGUCUUCAUUUCUGAAGGCACUUACAUCCCAUAAAACUGUGAUUCAAUAAGUUAUCCAUUUAUCUUGCUAACCUGUUUUUUGUUAUGGUAGUGUCAGCUGUGACCCUUAAGAUGGGUAAAGAAAAGUAUCACACCUUUUCCACCCCUACAUUGCACAUUAGGAUGGUUCCAACUUUUCCUAUUACAGAUACAGCUAUAGUGAAUGAAUGUGGAAAUUUAUACAAUGCAGGUAAAUAUGUAGGAAACAUUUCUAGAAACAGAAUUGCUGAGUCAAAGAGUAUACAUAUGUGUAACAUUUCACAGAUAUUGCAAAUCAUUCUCCAUAAAAGCUGUCCAAAUGUACACUCCCACCAGCCUGUAUGAGAGUGCCUAUUUCUCCACAAUUCUCAAAGUGUUAUCAAACUUUUCAGUAGCUACCAAUCUAUUGAUAUCUCAUAUCAAUUGGUGAGAAAAAACAUGUAGUUAAAUUUUUCAUUUAUUUUCAGAUAAAUGUUGUCUAUUCAUAUAUUUUAGAGCCCUUUUGAUUCCUUCUCUAUCAACUGUGUUCAUAUUCUUUGCCUCUUUGUUCUAUUGGUUGUUCGUUUUUCUUAAUGAUCUGUGAAAGUUCUUAUAUUAAAAAAAAAUUGGUCCUCAUCCAAAAUACGAGUUUAAAUACUUUUAUUUUUCACAUUUUGGUUAUUUUUAUUUGUAUAUGUUUUGUGACAGCUUGGAAAAAAUUUCAGGUAGACAGAUUAAUCCGUCUUUUCUUUUAUGGCUUCUGUUUUGUGUCAUACUGGAAAAAUACAUCCAUUCUGAGUUUUUUAUUUUAUUUCUCAUUUUUUGUUUCCUAGUGCUUUUAUUGCUUUGCUUCCUAUGUUGAAGUCUUUGAAUGAUUAGGACUUUGUUGUCAAGCUAGAGUUUGGUAUUUUGUUGGUUUGUUUGUUUUGUUUUGUUUUUUGAGACGGAGUCUGUCACGCAGGCUGGAGUGCAGUGGCGCAAUCUCGGCUCACUGCAGCUUCCGCCUCCGGGGUUCAAGCAAUUCUCCUGCCUCAGCCAGGCUGGUCUUGAACUUCUGACCUCAAGUGAUCCACCUGCCUCAGCCUCCCAAAGUGCUAGGAUUACAAGUGUGAGCCACCGCACCUGGCCUAGAGUUUGGAAUUUUUAUCAUUUAGGAAUUGGGCUUGGUUGCUGACUACUUAUAUCCUAGUUGCUCUUCAGUUUAGCUUCUACCUCAGACUCCAUUGGAACUCUUGUCACCAAAAUUACCACUUCCUUGAUGCUAAAUCUAUUUGACUUUUGUCUUACUUGGCUUCUUAACAACACUAAAAAAUGUUGCCCAUUCCUUUCUUCCCAUGCCUUUAUUUUUUCUCCUAGCUGUCUAGCCCUUCUUUCUCAGUCUCCUUUGUGAGUUCUUUUUUUCUCCCUUAAAUGUUGGGGCUCAGGGUUUAGAGCUGGUCACUAGGUGUGCCUUUUCCCUAGGCACUCUCAAGCACUCAUAUGGCUUCACAUCCCAUUCAUGUUUGCUCUUCUGAGCUCCAGAGCCAUAUAUCCAGCUGUCUUCUGGAUUCUCCACUUCGAUAUCCCACAAGCAUCUCACAUCUAACACAUUCUAAUCUCUUCUCCCAAACUUGCUCCCUCUCAGUGGAUGGCAUCCACCAAGCCAGAGUCUAAAGCAACAUUGUUAGCUUUUCUCUCUUCUUCUGUCUCAAUAUUCAAUCACUAAAUCUUAACAGUUCUACCUACUAAGUAGCCAAACCUCCAAACUGCUCCACUUUUCUCUGUCUCCUCAGCCACCAUCUUCUCUUGUCUGAUAAAGACAGCAGUCUCCUAACAGGCCUCUCUGCUGCCACUUUCCAAUUCAGUUUCCAUUUUGCUCAUCUCUAAAUCAUGGAUCUGAUUAUGUCACAUACCUAUAUGAAACUCUGCAGUGGUUCCCCAUUGUUGGAGACCCACCACAGGGCCCUGAGACGCUUCCUCUGGGGCUCAUCACCCAUCACUGCCCCCUGUCCCCUCUAGUCAUGUUGAACUGCAGUGCCCUGAACACGCUGGGCUCACACGCCAUUCUCUGUGCUGUCACGCUCUCCUCCCUCCUUUCCUCUGACAAUGCCUUGCCUUCAGUUCUCUGCAGAUCUGCCAGCUACCCUGCUGUGGAUACUGGGCCCCGUGGUACAGCCCCCACGCCCCCAAAACUGCCCUUUCCCACUCACUGCACCUGUUGACUUGUUUCAGCACUCACAUUCCAAUUGGCAGUCACUGUUCAUUCCUGUCUCCUCUACUGGCUUAUCCCCACAGCCUCACUAGAUGGCAUCGUUGCAUGCCCAGUGCCUAGCAGUGCAGGUGCCCCAUACAUGGCUUGAAGGGAUGAAUGAAUCAUCCCUUCAAAGAACGCUCCAGUUGAGGACCCAGUUACAUCGCACCACCUCCAGCUUCUCUUCAGGCCAGUUUCUUCUUCCUCCCUCACUUCUGUAUUAAAGUUCUCUGGCUUAUUAAUUUCCUUAAAACUACCAAAUAAUUACAUCAUUUUUCUAUUCAAAAAUAGCAAAGGGCUACCUAUAGCCAUUAAAAGAUUUGCAUUUUACCAUAGAAUUAGAGAUCCAGAUCAGGAGUGCGCGUAGGAGGGUGGGGAGAAGAGAACUGAGGGGCUUUUUUCUUUCUAAAGUCAAGUAUUUUAGGUAUAAUUUACAUACAGUAAAAUGGACCCUUUUUAGUUGUAUCGUUAUGUGUAUUUGACAAAUAUAUAGUGUGCUGUAACCACAAUCAAACGUAUAUUUCCAUCACAGUGGAAAAUUCUCUGGGCUGCCCCUACUCCCAGGCCUUGGCAACGACUUUUCUGAUUUUCUUCCCUAUACUUUUGCCUUUUCCAGAAUGUCUUUUCUUUCACUCAGCAUAAUGCUUUGAUAUUCAUCAAUGUGUUGCAUGUACCAGUAAUUUGUUCCCUUUUUGUUGCUGAGUCUAUUCCACUGUAUGAAUGCAGGACAAUUUAUUCAUUCACCAGUUGGACAUUUAGGUUGUUUCUACUUUCUGGAGAUUAUGAAACUGGUAUAAUUAUUUGUGUAAAAGUCUUUAUGUAGGUGUGUUUUUAUUUCUCUUGGGUGGGAUUGUGGGUCUUACGGUAAGUUUAACUUUAUUAGAAACUGUUAAAUUGGACCAGGCGAGUCUUAUCCAAAUCAUUGAAGAGGGGCUGACACUACACAAAUUCGAAAUCAUAUAUUAAUCCAAACACCCAGAUAAGCAAGUCCAGCUGUGGGAACCCAGUAAACACCAAUGACCAGAAACUGCUGAAGCCCCGAGUGUUUGAGGGGAGGUGGUAAAAUGGAGACAGCACUGCCUUGGGAUCUUGGACAUGCUCCGCACACUGUUCCCUCCCAGGCCCUGCUGGUCACUCAGUGGCCUUAGAAACAUUGUCUCAGGUUCCCAGGCCAUGAAUCUCUCUCGCCAGGCCAUUUGUAACAUGAAUGGUUAGAUGUUAAUGUUUACAUACAGAAAACACAAAUUAAUAAAAUCAACCUGGGGAUGUGUGUGUGUGUGUGUGUGUGUGUGUGUGUGUGUGUGUUGGGGAGUUGGGGGACUGUAAAAUUUACACAAAAAGAAACAAAUGACUUGAACUAUAUUUCAAAUAAAUAACAUACACAGAAAGGGGGAAAUAACCCAGGUAACUGUGACUAUUUAGAAUCAAGCUUGCCCUCAGGGUCAAGACAAAAAAAAAAAACUUGAAACGUUUUGAAUUCUAAUUAGUAGGCACAGACAUUAGUUGGUAAUUCUGAAACAACAUUCUGUACAUUCUAGGAUUGAGCAGAUAAAAUGUAUCAUGGGCUGGGUGAGGUGGCUCAUGCCUGUAAUCCCAGCAUGUUGGGAAGCUGAGGCAGGUCUAUCACUUGAGGUCGGGAAUUCGAGACCAGCCUGGCCAACAUGAUGAAACCCUGUCUCUACUAAAAAUGCAAAAAUUAGCCAGGCAUUGUGCCACGCGCCUGUAAUCCCAGCUACUCAGGAGGCUGAGGCAGAAUCGCUUGAACAUGGGAGGCAGAGGUUGCAGUGAGCCAACAUCGUGCCACUGCUCUCCAGCCCGGGCAACAGAGUGAGACUUCGUCUCAAAAAAAAAUAAAAUAAAUAAAAUAAAAUAAAACAUAUUGUGGCUAAUGGCAGUCAGCUUUCUCACUGUUGGAAAAGGGAGGAAAGGAGAAAAGGUGAAAAGUACCUGGGAAUUCUUUGCACUAUUUUGCAACAUUUUUCUAAGUCUGAAAUUGUAUUUAAAAAUGGUUGGACUAUAUCAGUGCUUCUGAACUCCCUUAUAUUAAAAAUUACCUACAGCUUUAGCUAAAAAUUUGAAACUACAGGAUCACCUCCCCCACUGUGGGUAGUCUGUGUCAGUAUGUUUGGGCCUGAGAAUCUGCAUUAUACAUCAUCGAACAAAUUUUAAAAGGGCUGAAUUAAAUGAUCUUUGAGGGCCUUUCCUUCUGUGUUCUGGAGGAGGCAAAAAAAUUCAGCCUGUUUCAGAAAUCUGUUGCUUAGCAUGAAGAGAAUGAGCGUGGCAACUGUCUGAAGUUAAUUUCUUAUGAGUUGACACAUUCCAUACAAGUACCAAGAGACAUAGGAAAGCCCUAUAGGCAAUUUCUCAAGGGAAAAAAAAUCAGGAAAAUCUCAGAAUUCUUCAAAAAUCAAGUCAUCCAGAUAUCUUCUGGAGUUAACAUCCUUCCAGUAGAACAAGUACCUGCCAGCCUUGGGACCCCUCUACUUAGCUCAACCUGCAAUCCCUUCCCCCGACAAGCUGACAAGGCUGGCUCCUUUUUGCCCAUCAAGUCUUCCUCAAAUGUCAGCUUAUCAGAGUGACCAUCAAUUCACAUGCCCUACUAGGCUUAGUUUCUUUACAGCACUUAUUAUCUGGAUUCAUCUAUAUAUCCUGUCUGCCUGCCCAACCAGAACACUAGCUUCAUUAGGGAGGGACAUUGCAGGUUUUUUUCACUUGUGUAUCCCCAGUUCCUAGGACAGUGGCCAUUCUAUACAUCCUAAGCACUAACUAUUCAUUGAAUGAUUUACUGAUACACAUGUGUACAGGGAUCUGUUUCUCAUGGUGAAUUAACAUAUUUGCAGUGUGGUAGAUAAAACAUAACCAAAUUAAGUGGCAAACAGGAUGACUUUAUGAUAAUAAAUAAAUUCUGUUUAUUUUUUUCUCUCACAUAGUUCAAGAAAACCAGACAUUAGUGUAAGUUGGAGAACAUCUGAGUUUGGAAACAGGUCUUUGCCUUAAUGGAUUGUUGACUAGAAAAUCAGAGGCCGAAAUUCAAAUAAUAUGUUUUGAAGUGUUGUUGUACCGUGUUAAUAGGUGUUUCAUAUAAAAAGGGUAGCAUGGACUGGGUGCAGUGUGGCUCAUGCCUGUAAUCCCAGCACUUUGGGAGCCUGAGGCAGACAAAUCACUUGAAUUCAGGAAUUCUAAGCCAGCCUGGGCAGCAUGGCAAAACCCUAUCUCUACAAAAAGUUAGCCAGGCUUGGUGGCAUGCACCUGUAGUCCCAGCUACUCAGGAGGCUGAGGUGGAAAGAUCACUGAAGCCUGUCAGGCAGAGGUUGCAGUGAGCCAAGAUUGCAACACUACACUCCAGCCUGGGCAACAGAACAAGACCCUGUCUCAAAAAAUAUUUUUUUUAAUUAAAAAAUGUUAAAGGGUACCAUAAGGUACAAAAUAGUGUCAAAUGAAGGGUUUCUUGAACAUAUCUGACAAUGCCAUUCUACUACACCGCACCUACCUCAGAACCUCUCAUAUGAGCAAGUUUCUACUGGGCGGGGCAGCAGGGGGAACAACACUUCCAGAAAGACUUCAGCAGACCAAAUAUUUAAACCACUUUAUACUCAGAAGACCUCUAAAUUUCCCAUAACAUCCUACCAACAAUUACAAAUUCUUUUUUUUUUUUUUUUGAGGCAGGGUCUUGCCCUGUUGCCCAGUCUGGAGCGCAAUGGCGCAAUCAUAGCUCACUGCAGCAUCCAACUCCUGGGUUCAAGCAAUCCUCCCACAUCACCCUCCACAGUAGCUGGGACCACAGGUGUGCACCACCACAACCAGCUAGUUUUAACUUUUUUUUAUAGAGACAGUGUCUGGCUCUGUUGCCCAGACUGGUCCUGAAUUCUUGGGCCCAAGCAGUCCUCCCACUUCAGCCUCCCAAAGUGCUGGGAUUACAGGCAUGAGCCACUGCAUCCAGCCACAGAUUCAUUCAUUCAUUCGUUCUUUCUUUGUUUUAAGACUAGUCAAGUGCAGUAGUGAGAAGAGGGGAAGAGUAGAACAAGGAGCUUGAUCUAUAACUGACUGCGAACAAUCAAUUGAGCUAACUCACUACCUUCAGACCAGCCACAAAUUCAUUUCUUUAGAAAAAAGAUGAGAAUUAUUUUCUAAAAACUGAGCAAUGGAAAAGGAACCCCUUCAAUGGGUAAAGGGAGGUAAAGUUAACUGAAUGGCCUUAUUCAUCAUACACAUUCAAGUUUUAUCACAGUUGUAAGGUCUGGUAAAUUUUUGAGUAGUGCUUCUCAAGCAAGGGGAGUGGGGAGAGGUACAUCCCAUUAGGAAUGUGCCACCCUCCCCACCAUAGUCUUUUUUGAGACAAUGCCAUGGUGAGCAAUUGUUACCAAUGGGAAUGUGUCACAUGUCUUAAAUGUAGUGAGACACUUUUUAAAAAUUAAGACCCACUCCAGUGAGGUCUUCAGCUGACCCCCUGCCAACCUUUUAGACUUUCUGAGAUGGCUUGGAUGAAAUUAUACUCACAUUAGACAUCUAAUGCCUAUUAUUUAAUACUUAAUGAUAAUUAAUAUAUUUGAACCCCUUCUCAUUUUGCAUAGGAAGCUUUCAAAUCAGUGUUCUGCAAACUGUCGUAAAAUUCUGAUUUAUAACACUGUCCCCAAAAGUAUAUAAUGGGACUAAAGUUUACCAAACUUAUAAAAAUGUUAUGAAACACUGGAUCUUAUUUUGUUGAUUUAACAUUUCAUUUCCAUCAUUAAGCAUGUGAAAAAGCAACAUAAGCAAAGAUUAAAUAAUCUAAAAAUCCUUCAAAUUGGUCACUCAUUAUUUCAGUACUUACUGAGCUAAACAUUAUUUUGUUACCUAUAAAGGAGAGAAUGUAAAACACUGUAUGUCUUUGGCAUUACUAGAAAGGGGUAUUUAAACUUUGUACCUUUUUUUGCCAUAAAAUUGAAGUUACAGUAAGAUGAAAUGGAAGCUCACAAGCCCUGUUGGUGUGGAAUUCCACUAAUAAUGUCAGAUUGUUGCCAGAAAAACAAAUUUUGUCAUGCAGCUUGCAAUUAAUGUACCAAAAAUUUACCAGCCCAUAUAAUUUUAUCAGUCUGCCUUCCCCAGAGGAAGUAAACAGAUAAUAAAACUAACGAAAUCAUAUUUCUUGACCACUCUCAUCCAAUAUAAAUUGUUACUUGUCCUUCGAGUAUUAGACAGUGAGCUGUUUACAAGGCCAUUCAAAUGUCUGGGCUAGUUAAUGGUAGAGGCAGUAGUCUAAAAUAUGGAGUAUUCCUGAGUCAGCAAAGAGGAUCCUGCAUUGUGAGGAAGCCCCCCUAAGUCAUUACCAAGUGCAGAUCUGGGUUUGAUGGGCCUCUGUCAAAAGUUGUUUUGCAUCCGCAUUUCUGUGUUCCCUGAAAACACCAUGAAAUACUGAACUUUAAUCAGUAAUGCAACAAAUGAGAAAAUGCUCAGUGUUUUAGAACUAUUCAGAGUAGAAAACGCUGGAACAUAAAAUGAGGUUACGCCUUAGUUGGUGAGUUGCUAAAACUUGAGAUCAGGCGAAACAAAGCUGAUAGGUCUAAUGCCUUUUGGAACAUGUAACACCAGCAGUUCUUCAAGUUUGGCCUCUGGCCCUCCUGUAUUAGAAUCAUCUGGGAGACUUGCUCCAGUGCAGAUCUCCUCUACAAAACCUACAUUUAACCUAGUGAAGCAGAACCCCCUGGUUUUCCCUAGGAGUCUGCAUUUGUCACAAGCUUACUGGAUGUUUCUGAUUCACAGUAAAGCUUGAGAACACUAUAUGUGACCACCCCACUGGCAAGGUGAUUAACUUCUUAUGCAUAUGGAUACUAAAUUUUGCAACAUAUUUGAAAUGCUGAAGCAAUAUCAAAUGUAUGACAUCCCCAAAUAUAGCAAUUUCCAUUGGUUUAAAAGGUGGCAUAUGAGCACAACCAAUUGGGAUUAACUCAGUCAACUCUUAUGGUUUAACACAUUUUACCUGCACUGAAAAAUACUUUGCAGAUCAAACUGGCAACCAGAAAACAGAACAUAACAGAACACAUGACACCCCGCUGUGGACUUUUAAGAAAAAAACUGACAAACUCCAAAUCCAUAAUGACAUGAGAACUUACACUUUGAAGGCAGAAUGGACUUGUGGGAAGAGAGGACUCCCCUUCUGUUCUCCCUUCACUAGGUGGAGAAGGGAAGAAGGGCUCUCCCCAGACAGCUCUCUUCAUUCUGGAAUGUUUUGCCAGUCCCCAAGGCACUCAGUGACCAACUUUCUUUCACAGGUCCUCCCAGUGACUGACCUGGCUCAUUCUCCGAAAGUGGUUGACAGGCCACUACGAGAGCUCUUGAGAGAAGCUUUGUGACAUGAAAUUCAUCAAAUGAAGCAAGAUUCAUUUUUAAAGAAUAAUACAAAGCUCCAGAGUAAUAUGCUUAAUCCAAAUGUUUAAAUAGAAUUUAAAACCACAUUUUAAGUAAAUUUAAAAUUAAUGAAAUAUCAAUAGUUUGCCUUAACAAGGACUUGCUUGAACCAUAUUCUCCUUUUAAAAUCACACACACAGAAUCAGUGUACAUUUAGAGAAAUUUCCCCAGCUGAAUAACAUUUUUGACAUGAAUUCAUUCAAAAGACACCAACCAUUAUGAAUAUUUUAGGCCAUGAUAAGCUGUAACCACCUCCGGCUUAUGGUGGUUAGGAUGUUGCAGCUUAAUGUUGACAUCUGGCAUGAAAAGCUUAUGGUCUGAGUCAUGUUUCUUUUUUAUGUAAUUCUGGCUUGGGAAUCCGAUACAGAGCAGCUGAGAAAUAAAUUAUGUUGCUGAGGCUGAAGAUGAUGCACAGAAGUAUGGCUCCAGCUAUCUGAGAGAAAGAGAAGGGCUUGGAGGUGGCCAGGAGCCAUUCCUUCCUCAGAGUCUUGUCCAGAAGUAUGGCUUCCAUCUGCAUGUGCGUGGCCAGGAUCACACACACGUGAAACAGCUGGUGACUGUGACCUAUGGCAAACACAAAAGGCCGUCAAGAUCAGCAAUGAAAAGGAAUGAGUACUGAUACAUGCUAUGGCAUUCAUGCUAAAAAUGAUGCUAAGUGAAAGAAACCAGACAGGAGACCACAUAUUAUAUAAAAUCUCCAGAAUAUGCAAAUCCAUAAAGACAGAGAGUAGAUUAGAGGCUGCCUCAAGCAGGGGGUGAGAAUAGGUAUUAACAGUGCAUGGGUCUGAUGGAGGGGAUGAAAAUGUUCUAAAACUGAUGUAUGGUGAAUUUACUGAAAAUAUCAUUAAAUUGUAUACUUGACAUUAGAGAAUUAUUGAAUAUGUGAAAUAUACCUUAAUAAAUUUAUUUUUAAGAAGCAAUAUGGGAAAAAUAAAAGGCCCAUCAGAGAAAACCAAAUCCAAAUUCUUUUUUAAAACAACUUAUCCACCAGUCUCAUUUUUCAGAUGAAAAAAUUAGGCACCAAAGUUCAUCUCUUGAGAGCCAGCACUGAUCAGCUCAGAGUCUCACUUCAGUGCUGAGGGAGAAGCUGGCUGAAUUUUCUGUUGGCCACUAACCAAGUGGACCUCUCCCUACUGCCAGUUAGUCACAGAUAUGACCAGGACUCUUCCUCCCCAAUGCCAUGCUGGACCCAGCUCACAUGGUGCCCUUCACAGAGGCUGGGAGCCCAGUAGAGGGUAGUGGGAGUGACAGGGACAGGGACGUGCUGGGUGGUUGGUGAGAAAACAAAUCCAAUGCCUAGGGUCGGGGGCAGCUUUGGGGGACAACCCUCAGACCCCAGGAGUAAGGAGGCGACCACAUGUGUUAUGGGCUGAAUGAUGUCCCUGAAAAAUACAUGUGCUGAAGUCUUAAGCCCCAGAAUGAGACCAUAUUUGCAGAUAGGAUCUUUAGAGAAAUAAUUAAAUAAAAAUGAAGUCUCUAAGAUGGGCCUAAUCCACUAUGACUGGUGUCCUUAUAAGGAAAGGAGUUUAGGCCAGGCGCGGUGGUUCACGCCUGUAAUCCCAGCACUUUGGGAGGCUGAGGCGGGUGGAUCACGAGGUCAGGAGAUAGAGACCAUUUUGGCUAACAUGAUGAAACCCCGUCUCUACUAAAAAUACAAAAAUUAGCCGGGCAUGGUGACACGUGCCUGUAAUCCCAGCUACUCUGGAGGCUGAGGCAGGAGAAUGGCGUGAACUCGGGAGGCAGAGCUUGCAGCGAGCCAAGAUCAUGCCACUGCACUCCAGCCUAGGCGACAGAGCGAGACUCCGUCUCAAAAAAAAAAAAAAGAAAGAAAAGGAGAUUAGGACACAGACAUGCACGUAUACAAGAAAAAGAUCAUGUGAAGACAGUUGGAAAGAACGGCCAUCGACAAGCCAAAGAGAGAGGCCUCCGGAGAAGCCUACUUGCCAACGCUUUGAUCUCAGAUUUCCAGCCUCCAGAAUUGUGAGAAAAUAAAUUUCAGUUGUUUAGGCCACAACAGUCUGUGAUACUUUGUUAUGGCAGCCCUAGCAAACUAAUGCAGCAUAAGAGUUAAAUAAGGUUUCUCUUUUGGUUUAAAAAAAAUAAAAUAAAAAGGCUGGGCAUGGUGGCUCACACCUGUAAUCCCAGCACUUUGGGAGGCCAAGGCAGGAGGAGUGCUUGAACCCAGGAGUUUUGAGACCAGCCUGGGCAACACAGUGAGAUCCCAUCUCUAGAAAAAUAAAAAAUUCAGUGUUUCACCCCCAGGACCUAUCUCAGAAGAAAUAUUCAAUAAAUGUGUCCUAGGAAUGAACCGGCCUGGCCACCUCUACUAUUGAGCAGGAGCAGAGUUAGGAAGAUUGAGCAGGAGCAGAGAGGGAUUCCCACCUCCAGCAGACUCUGUUAGUUAAGGACUGAGAAUGUUCCAAAUCUUGUUAAUGAUCUGUCAUGAACUAUUUUCUAGGAAAUGUCCCCCAGAGGGGUGUUUUUCAGCUCUGUACCCCUAGGCCCAAGAGGAUGGGACAGAGGUGAAUAAAAUGUUAUUAAGAAACCUGAGUGGUAGCAAAAGAAGGCCCAGGGCCAUUUUUCCUGCAACCCCAAAACUUGCUACACAGCCACCUCUACUUCAUUAAGCGGGGCUGGGGAGGUGGACAUGGCAGUCAGGAUGCUGGUGACUCCGAUUCCCUGGCCUCUCCUUUUCCUCCUUUUUGGAAAUCUGUUCUCUAAGCAUUUUACUAGUUACAACCCCUUCUGACACAACAAAAGAAGAAAAGGAGAUAAAACUUUAAUCAGAUCAAACAAACUGCAUCUGGCCACAUCUUUUAGUGAGAGGAGAUGGAAAAUCAGGAACAAAAUGGGCUUGGGGAGAAGCAAGCUUCCUGCCCUGGUGGGGACAAUGACUGGCCCUUUGAUUCCCAUGUACUCACCUAAGGAACUCUCACCCCAAAGUCUUGUCAGCCUCACCAGAAAUGAUGCAAGGGUUCCUCCUCCUAGCCAGUCCCAGAGCCAGAGCGGAGGAGGCACAUUCUGCAGGGACCCGCCCCUCCUUCCCUAGACAGAGCGGGGAAAGAACUCUGCCAGCAGGUGGAAACCCCCGUGACUCUGACACCUUCUCUCCACCAGAUCACUUCAAACUUAAGUGAGCUCAGGUUCAUCUGGAGGAUGACUCGGCCUCUGUUCUCUCGUCCCACCUGACGAGAAAUACCCACAGGUGUGGAGGGGCUGGCCCCCUUCACCUGGGUCUCGACUCCUGUUUUGUUCUGCGGUUCCCAUUGCAGUGCUGUGACCCCCCAGAAGCUCAGGAAAACAACUGACUUCCUGGUGUUGCCAACAGGCAGAGAGGAGAUGCAGCCAGUCCUUACCCUGUAGAAGAUGGGGAGGGAGUCCCAGGUGUACGGAUAAGCAAAGGCGAGGACACGAAUCACCUUACAGAGUCUGGGCUUCUGGAUUUCAAGAAACCUAAAUCAGGGAAGGAAAGUGGGGAGGAAAUGGAAUGAAAAGAGUCUCAGCAAAUUGCAUACGCACAUGCAUGCACACCGAGGGCCUGGUCAUCAACAGAGGACAAGCAUUUUUCUACAAGCUCCUGUGGCCAGCAGCUUCUCCACCAGCCUCGUCCAUUCCUCCCACCCCAAUGGAAGUGACAAAACUUCAGAUGCAAAAAGAUCUCCAGGGACACCAUCUCCUGACCAUGGGAAGCAGUGGUGUCCAGACUAAGCCAGAAAGGAGGCGCUGGGCAGAAACCCUUCAAGGGCCAAGUUAUGUAACUGCCAAAGAACCUUUUAAAACUCUAGUUGCUACAGGGACAGGGAACGGGUAGGGGGAAUCGGGGGAUCCACUGCCACAGACUCUUGGGGGGCACACUCUGCAGAGGCUGAGAUGCACCCAUCUAGUUGGAGCCCAGGUAUUAUCAUGCAGGAGACCUGGGUUCAAGUAGGUGUUUGACCCUUGGAGAGCUUUCUGGAAUAUUUAUACCACACACAGGGAUACUUGGCUUGGGAAAACUAAAUAAACGUGAAGUCUUUCCUUCUCUUCUUCAUUGCCACCCUCACCCAACCUCCAAUCCAAAGACAGCUGACAGCAACAUUAAAACAAGUGAUGCUGAUUGUUGAGAAGAGAGGCAGGUCCCCCCAGACAGAACAUGACAGGGCCUCAGCUGACUUGGGCCCAGCCUGGGGCAGCAGCUCAGGGUAUGGGGAACUGGGUAGCACAGACAGCAGGCUGCACACUGGGAGGACAUGGGGAGGGGCAGGGAGGGUCUCUGCACAAAAUCACAGCCCUGAACUGAGGCCUGGGUAAGGAAGUGCUCAUGGGCCCUGGCUGGGCCACCAAGGCCAGGUAGUAGGGACAGGUAAAGUCCCCACAUCAAUGCUGAGGUGUACUGUGGAGGGCUGUGUCCUCCCUUGGGGCCCACAGGGCUGCAGGGUAAGGAACCCAGCACAGUGGAUGCACAGCCACACGCUGAGGCUCUUGGGAUGGCUGUUCUGAUGCAGUCUGUAAAGGCAAUGCAUGCAUCUGGGCCCUUUCAGCCUUUGCUGACAGUUCUGCCCCCUAUCACACUGGAGGGAUGGGGUCUGUGUCCUGCUGUGGCUCCUAUCUCUGCUCCCAAGAACCUCGGUCCCAGUCCACAAGCCUGUUCCUUCUCCUUCAAAUGCCAUCUGCUGUUUCCUCUGAGCCCAGACCGAUUUCACCUGGCCAGGCUGUUCAUAUCUCGUAUGAGCCAGUAAAGCCACCUGACCAUAAACCCAGCUGCUGCCUGUAUCUCUCAGCAUGGAGUAUGCAGGGACUUCCACAUUGGGCAGUUAGGGAACCCUCCUCAGGCAGGUGCCAGAUCUGGUCAGGCCUGGAUCCUGGGGACCCAGCACAGAAGCAGGUCUGAGGAUGCGGACAUUCUCCAGGCUAUUGUGCUCCACUCAGUCCUCAGGGCAACCGAGCACAAAUGGCCCACCCGGAGAUUCCUGUUUCAGGAGAAAGGGACACCACUGUGUGCCCGGAGAAGCCCCACAGCCUCCCAAGACAAACCCCAACUUCACUCCAGCCCACUUUCGUGUUUCUUCUUUCCUGACCCUGCCUGUAAGUCAUACAUGGUACAUGGCAUGUACCAGGUGAGAAGCUCAAGGAGAAGGAACUAGGAUGCAUCAUCCCCCCCGAAAAAGAACCAAACUCCCGGAGAGGUGAGGCAGCGCAGCACUGUGAUUUUAUGUGGAGAGCUUGAUUGGGACACACUGGGUUCAAAUCCUGACCCUGCCCUUCACAACCACGUGACCUCGGCAGGUCACUAACCUUUGUGUACCUCCUGAUCCUCAUGUGUAACACAGGGACAAUGACUGUGCCUUGUCACAGCCUCGUUGUAUGGAUUUGAUGAAACGAUGCUCCCGAGGUGUUUAGAACUGUGCAUGGCACAGUCGCACAGACUAAACAGCAGCUUUUAAAAACACAUGCAUCGUGGAGCUCCAUUCUCUCCCCAUCCCCACCUUGUAUCUAUGUUGGUCCAGAUAAUAGGAACAGGAGGGAACAAAUAGGUUCUGGGUGAUUUGCCUGAAGUCAGAUGAGCCAAUAAGAAGCAGAGCUAGGAUUUAAACCCUGGGCUUUCUGGCCCCCAAGUGUCACCCCCUCUGUCUCAGGCAGUAGGCUGCGCAGACUCAGACCCCGCCCGGCCUUCACCCUUCCCUGCCCGCUCUGCCCCUGGAGCAGAGGGCACACACUCCUGCUAUCCCGAGAGCCAGGUAUCUGCCUCACCGGCCUUCUUAGUCCUCCGGCAGACCCUGCCCUGCCGCGGCAGGCCGCCCCCUCCUGCCCUGUGCCCUGCCACCGCCUGCCGUCUCCAGGUUGAGAGGCUCGCUCUUAAAGGGCCCCUGUGGCCACUUACACGCGAAGAAAUCUGGCUGUGGCUGGCGAAGGCCAUCCCCCAAAGCAUGGAUUUUCUGUGACUUGAGACAACAUUUCGCUCGGCCUGAUAAAGUGUUUCCCCAGGGGCAAACGGACCAGCCUCUCCAGCUGCAAAGCCGGGUCUAGAGGGAAAAGAGAAGGAGAAAAAGCAGAAGAGAAGAGAGACAGCAACAGAGAGAAAAAGGCAGAAGGGCCAGUAGCUCGGGAGAGGGGCCGUCCGCUACCAAGUUGCAGUUCCGCAUUAGGCCACGCGAUGUCGCCACAGCCAGAGCAGAACCACAGCCGCAGCAUCCUCAGAGGCGCCCCACGUGCGGCCCCACAGCCCAGCCUGCUCGGGCUUAGGGCAGUCCCGCACCAGAGGGCUAAGGGGCUGCUAUAGAGGAAGUGAGGUCUCUGCUCAGAACGAGGUUGGCAGGACACACUGGGUUACGGGAGAAGCCUUCGUUAAGAAAGGGUCGAUUCAACACAAUCUGACAAAAAAGCUGGAAGGAUUGGCAACUGGAAUUCCGGAACUAGGGCUUGAAACUAGCGGGCCUUUGGAAAAAUCAUUCUAUUGCAGAGGCGCACGCACGAGUGCACGUGUGUGUGUACAUGGGGGCGGUAGUUAUGGUUGUUUUAUUGUGUAGGAGUUGUCUUAUUUUGGAGAACUGCAGGGAUGUAGACAUUUCCCCAUGCCCCUAACUGGCUAUAGCAGCACUUUAUCCUCUGGCCAAGCCUCUGUCUGAGAACCAUGUCUGCUGAGCCUUCUACCUCCAGCGCUGACCUCAAACCCCUUCCAGGUCAGCUCCACCCCUCUGAACUGCCUCAGCAACUGCCUCUAAGCUGUCCUUAGAGCAGAGCUCAUGGGUGAAAAUUAAUCUCUCGCCCUCACUGCUCUGACCAGGAGGUUUUUCACUCAGCAGCUCUUUGAAAAAAAAAAAACAAAAAACAAAAAAAAAACAAUCAAUGGUUGGAUGCACUGGAAGGAGAUGGACAGUGAUUUGUCCAUACAGUACUUGCUGUGUAACUGACAUUCCUGAAGGGAGUGGCAGCCGUUUCCUGUGCAGGCAUGAGCAGGCCAGGGCCUCGGCCACCCCCACCUUGCUCCAAGAACCACGAAGAGGGCACGCAUUCUCUCAUUUCCCCUCUCAAAUGCUACAGAAUGAGAAGGCAGUUUUCUGGAACAUUUUCAUUUGAACCAAAGUCCAUGACAAUAAGAACCAAAAACCACUCAGGGGACGACAAAGCUCUCUAUGUUGAGAUUGGCCUUAAUGGUCUGCCUUGUAAUGGAACGAAUGCCAUUUCAACCCUGAUUUUCGGGCAAGCAUCAGAUAACUGUCAAGCAAAUACUGAGGUUCCUGGUCUCCCCCAGGAGGUCUUCCCCUCCCUGGAGGGGAAGGUGGUUCUCUCCCGCUCCUGCCCAACUGCAGCCGGAUGGAGCAGGAGGGAGAGGCAGGGGUGGAGCCUGGGGGAGGAAGACAGCUGGGAAAGGAAGCUUGGAGAAGACACUAAGGCAUCGACAUUGCACGAUGCCCAAACCAGAGAGGACCCAGAGGGUAUUGUCUCAGAUGCCCUCAUUGAAGACGUAGACCCUGAGGCCCAGAGUGGACAGUGACUGCCCUGAGGCCAUACAGCAAGUCUGGGGGAGCAGGGUUGAAAUUCAGGCCUCCAGAUACCCACACCCUCCUCUCUACCCACUUCUUCUGAAAUUACUCAGGGCCAGCAUCACUUCUGCACACGAGUCAGCUUUCUCACUCUCCAGACACCAAAGGCAGAGACAGGGAAUGAAGAGAGGGGAGGACAGGCCUUGUAAGAGCAGCAAAACCAUGGGUCAGGGAACGUGGAGCGAGGACGAGGUACAAAGGGCACUGGAAGGGCCACAUGCCCACUCUACCUUUGGGUGCAAGAGUGUGGCAUGUGCCCCCUUCCUCCUUUUUGAUUCCAACAUAGCCCCUCACCUCCCUCUCCCCUCAGCUCCCACUUCAGUUGCUGCUAAUAUGCCUGGAAACCCCUCAGGGCAUGGAAGCUGAGUGCGUAGGAUUUUUUUUUUUCCCUAAGAGAUUCUCAUCCUUCAUGAGCAAAGGGCCAGUCCUCAUAGGACCCACAGGCCCCCAGCCCACCAUCCAAGCCCCUCUGUAGCUGCUCUCCUCCAUCUACUCUUGCAGACUCUGGCAGCUCUAACACACCUUGCUGCUUCCCCACCCUGGCCCACCCUCUCUGUAGUCCUCAUCCUUGUCCUGGCUGGUUGCUAUGUCCUCCUCUUCAGCUAAAGUGUUCUACCUCCUUCAAUAUCCAGUCCUAAAGCCACUUCUCAGAACCCUGUGUAUACCGGCAGGUGUCAUUCUGCCUUAUCAUUAUUUGUUUACAUUACACUCCCUCCUGCUACACUCUAACGGAAAUCAUGGCCUCAUGGACCUCUGGGGGCAUCUGCAGUCUGUCUCUCCUAUGGCACUGGGUGCUCUCUGAAGGCAAGGGCAUCCUUCUGGCACCCUCAGCUCCUAACGUGGUACCUGGAGUAUGGCAGGCAUUUAAGGAAUGUUAGAUGGGUGGGCGGGUGUGUAGAUGGGUGGAUAGAUGGAAUAGGCACAGAUGUACUCCAUAAAUAAAUAACCCAUUUCAUUGGCAAAGGGAGAAGCCCCCAAACUCAGGCACCCAGGAGAUGUCUGGCAAAGCUGCCCUGACAGAUAAGUUCCUCCAAAGACACCAGGCAUGCCACAUCCAAAAGACCCCAUCCGUUAUAUCUGAACCAUCAGGGAAGACUCCUGGCUAGAAGAAAGUAAUCUAGGCUGGGCAGGGUGGCUCACACCUGUAAUACCAGCACUUUGGGAGGCUGAGGAGAGUGGAUCAUCUGAGGUCAGGAGCUCGAGACCAGCCUGGCCAACAUGGCGAAACCUUGUCUCUACUUAAAACAAAAAAAAAUAAAAUAAAACCAGCAAGUGUUCUAAGAAUUUGAAUUAUGAGCUCAUGGGGAAGCCAUCUUGGAUCAUUCACUCUGGAGACAAUUUCUUUUUUUUCUUGGCUCCACUGCCCGGGCUGGAGUACAGUGGCAUGCUCUCAGCUCACUGCAACCUCUGCCUCCUGGGUUCAAGCGAUUCUCCUGCCUCAGCCUCUUGAGUAGCUGGGAUUACAGGUACCUGCCACCACACCCAGCUAACUUUCGUAUUUUUAGUGGAGACAGGUUUUCACCACAUUGGCCAGGCUGGUCUUGAACUCCUGACCUCAGGUGAUCCACCCACCUGGCGCUCCCAAAAUGCUGGGAUUACAGGUGUGAGCCACUGCACCCAGCCUCACUCUGGAGACUUUCUUCCACACUCACGAAGCCUUCUCUUCCUCCUCUGCCCCCUCAACCUGUGGUACUCUCCCUGUCUAAUCCUAAAUUUCAAACGCCAGAGCCACACAGCCCUAGGAGAGCGAACCAGAUGGGGCAGUGACUGGUCCAAGGACCAGGUCCAAGAGUGUCCAGGUUCCUGGACCAUGGCCAGUCCACAAGCCCAUGCACCCAGGUCUCCGGGGCUUGCUUCAUCUCUGCUGGACUUGUUUCCGCAGGGUUAUUACUGUUCUAUAUCUGUUAUACCUCCCUUCAUCCACGGCAGGGACUCCUAGAAACAGACUUUCACUCCCAUGGAAGGCAGCUCCACACUUCCAACCCACCUUAGCGCAGGUGAAUGGAAGGCGAAUUGGAACAAGUAUUCCCAAUGCUGUUUCAGAAUCUAUCCUUCCAUUUAAAAAUAAAAAACAGAAACAAAAAAACUGGUUUGUCCUGUUUGUGAAACUUGCCUGCUCUCCCUUGUGAAACUUGCUGGCCCCACACAUCCCAAGUGUCACCCAAAGGAAUUUGGAGACAAAAUCAUUCUGGAGAAGUUACCAGAUGGGGCAUAUCUCACCUGCCUGUUUUUUCCUGGGGAGAGGGGGGCAAGUGGAGGCAGGGAGACUCCACUGGCUCGCUGGAGUUGCCAUUGCGGGAGGACAGAGAACUCAGAUGUACCUGCCAGCUUACCUUUCCUGACCAGCACGAAAGGCCCCCAGCCCAAAAGUACCAGCCUUGGCCCUAUUCAGCCAGGGCUGUCACCCCAACACAACCAUUUGGGAGAUUUCCUGAGUAUUUUAGGGAAAAGGAACUUUCAGGCAGUUCACUUCUACAAAGAGCUGAAUAAAUUGGUGUAGUUAUCCCCAUAACAACAUUCUCUGCACUCACACCCCCAUGAGUUUUCUUGAAAGAAAAAAAAAAAAAACAGUGGGAAUUAGAGCGCGUAAGCUGGGCCUGACUCACUGAUGAGGGAUGCAUAGGGCAUUUGAAUAACACCAUCAUCCAUCACAUAUGCCCAGAGGCAGACACACCCAGUCACCAUUAGUGACCACACAUUUAUGGGACAUCUCCUCUGUGCCAGGCUUGUGCUAAGUGUCCUGGGUACAUUACCUGUAAUCCUUCCAUUUGUCUUAGGGGUAUUUGUAAUGGCCUCAUUUUAUAGAUGAGCAAACUGAAGUUCAGGGUGGAUAAGCCACUUGUCCAGCAAAUGGAACCAGCUGCAUAAUUUGUAAAGCCUUGUACCGAAUCAAAGAGCAGGGACCUCCCUGUUCAAAAAUUAUUACAAAUUAUUAAGAAUGCAGCAGACGAGCCCAGGAAGGCGAGGCUACAGUGAGCUGAGAUCGCACCACUGCAUUCCAGCCUGGGCCACAGAGAGAGACCCUGUCUCAAAAAAA